AGUGUUCGAUUAAGCCAUGCGAGUUAAAUGUUCUUCGUGAACAUAGCAGACUGCUCAGUAACACGUGGAUAACCUGCCCUUAGGACUGGCAUAACCCCGGGAAACUGGGGAUAGUUCCGGAUAGAUCAUAAAUGCUGGAAUGCUUUAUGAUUGAAAGGUUUCGACCGCCUUAGGAUGGAUCUGCGGCCUAUCAGGUUGUAGUGGGUGUAAUGUACCUACUAGCCUACGACGGGUACGGGUUGUGGAAGCAAGAGCCCGGAGAUGGAUUCUGAGACAUGAAUCCAGGCCCUACGGGGCGCAGCAGGCGCGAAAACUUUACAAUGCGGGAAACCGUGAUAAGGGAACACUGAGUGCUAGCAUUUAUGUUAGCUGUCCACAUGUGUAAAUAGCAUGUGAUAGCAAGGGCUGGGCAAGACCGGUGCCAGCCGCCGCGGUAACACCGGCAGCCCGAGUGGUGAUCACUAU
This 465-nucleotide ribosomal RNA is filed under the name uncultured archaeon. RNAcentral describes it as "bacterial SSU rRNA". It matches the Rfam family "Archaeal small subunit ribosomal RNA", at positions 35 to 501 of the family's 1478-position model. The record is from RNAcentral.